This is a long non-coding RNA of Saccostrea cuccullata (small rock oyster), 399 nucleotides long. RefSeq lists it as uncharacterized. The transcript has 2 exons. The record is from RefSeq and is a predicted model, not a curated record. NCBI's taxonomy places the organism in Eukaryota, Metazoa, Mollusca, Bivalvia, Ostreida, Ostreidae.
AGCGUCGGAGGUUGCCAAAGUUACAAAGUUUACUUUAAGGAUAUAAUUCCUCAGAUUGGAAACCUGUAAGGAUGAAGAACCUCACCUUACUCGUCCUCUUUUGCUUUCUGUCCCUGGUAAUUGUUGACCCGGUCGUUAGUCAGGGUUAUUGUUCAACGACUUGUCGAGACUGUAACAGGUACUGUAGGAAGCAGGAUUACGCCAAAGCAAUCUGCCGACGAUCAGACUUCUGUCCGCGAGAUAUCCCAAACAGAUGUGAUUGCUUCUUUAGAAAGUGGCAUGCUUGAUGAAACAAGGAAUAACAUGCAAUAUGAACAUUGACUAUAUUAUAGAAUAUAAUAAUAUUUAUAAAAACAAAUGUAAAUCGUGUUUUAAGAAUAAAUGCAUAAUAUUAUUCAA